This 42-nucleotide transfer RNA is filed under the name Aphragmus sp. HZS2. RNAcentral's name for it is "partial tRNA-Phe". Lineage: Eukaryota; Viridiplantae; Streptophyta; Magnoliopsida; Brassicales; Brassicaceae. The record is from RNAcentral.
GGGAUAGCUCAGUUGGUAGAGCAGAGGACUGAAAAUCCUCGU